This 929-nucleotide ribosomal RNA is filed under the name uncultured bacterium (human infant) N13B4. RNAcentral describes it as "bacterial SSU rRNA". It matches the Rfam family "Bacterial small subunit ribosomal RNA", at positions 576 to 1503 of the family's 1533-position model. The record is from RNAcentral.
CGGUUUCUUAAGUCUGAUGUGAAAACCCCCGGCUCAAMCCGGGGAAGGGUCAUUGGAAAACUGGGRAGGACURKUCAGAAGAGGAGAGUGGAAUUCCAUGUGUAGCGGUGAAAUGCGUAGAUAUAUGGAGGAACACCAGUGGCGAAGGCGGCUCUCUGGUCUGUAACUGACGCUGAGGCUCGAAAGCGUGGGGAGCGAACAGGAUUAGAUACCCUGGUAGUCCACGCCGUAAACGAUGAGUGCUAGGUGUUAGGUCCUUUCCGGGACUUAGUGCCGACASUAACGCAUUAAGCACUCCGCCUGGGGAGUACGACCGCAAGGUUGAAACUCAAAGGAAUUGACGGGGGCCCGCACAAGCGGUGGAGCAUGUGGUUUAAUUCGAAGCAACGCGAAGAACCUUACCAGGUCUUGACAUCCCAGUGACUGCCCUUAGAGAUAGGGUUUCCUUCGGGGCACUGGUGACAGGUGGUGCAUGGUUGUCGUCAGCUCGUGUCGUGAGAUGUUGGGUUAAGUCCCGCAACGAGCGCAACCCUUAUUGUUAGUUGCCAUCAUUGAGUUGGGCACUCUAGCGAGACUGCCGGUAAUAAACCGGAGGAAGGUGGGGAUGACGUCAAAUCAUCAUGCCCCUUAUGACCUGGGCUACACACGUGCUACAAUGGCUGGUACAACGAGUCGCAAGCCGGUGACGGCAAGCUAAUCUCUGMMMGCCMGUCUCMGUUCGGAUUGUAGGCUGCAACUCGCCUACAUGAAGUCGGAAUCGCUAAUAAUCGCGGAUCAGCACGCCGCGGUGAAUACGUUCCCGGGCCUUGUACACACCGCCCGUCACACCACGAGAGUUUGUAACACCCGAAGUCGGUGAGGUAACCGUAAGGAGCCAGCCGCCUAAGGUGGGAUAGAUGAUUGGGGUGAAGUCGUAACAAGGUAACCGU